GUGAACAUGGGAAAGAACAGUGACAUGCACAAGUUAGGCAAUCUCCUGCCACUGUACUGCAAUGACCUCAACCAUCAAUAUUGUGCAAGAUAGAGCACGGGUUGCACGUGCUGCAGACCAAAAGGGCAGAAAACCAAGGAAACCAAAUAUUCCCACUGACCUGCUACAGAGUCAGACACAAGAAUGAGACUUGCACAGAGAGGGAGCUGAUUUGUCUUCUGUUUGUUGUCAGUCACGGUCUAGCUGAGCCACAAGCUUGUGGAGCAGAAAAGGCCACAGAACUGCUAUUCUUCAUUGCUCUUGAACCAGCCAUGACGAAGUCCAGCACUUAACACUGGUUAAUCAGUGUUGUUCAACAGUGCCACUGGAAAAUGCUUUAUUUCAUCUUUGGACUGGAUUCCUCAAAACUUCCUCUGUCAUUCAUCUGUUAAGUGUGUCUGUGAAGUGAUCAAACGUGAGAUGUCCCUGUGCGUCUGGUCCCUAAGGGAACCUAGACUGGAACAGCAAAUAGUCACUAACCAUUUUCCCCAACAUUCUUCAUGCUUUUCUCACUGGUUAUACGAAUCACGUGAUGUGAAAAAACUUGUGCAGCAAGUAUGCUCUGGUCAUUUACGUUUCGGAAGAACAAUCACCGUCGGAAAGAAGAUGUUAGAAAGUAACACACCCACAAUAUCUAACCUUUAUCUUACUCAUGAACUGUGUCUGAAGGACCAAAGAUAAGUGGGUAGGAGGCAACAAACUGCUAGAUUAAAAUUGUUAUGACAGGCUGGAUCUGGCUCAUAAAACUUUUUUGUUUUUUAAGGCUUUCUGAUAGAGUUAAGCUUCCUAGCUUGUGCAAAUAGUGUCGUAUAACUGGCAGACGCACUUGAAUUGAUGAGAGGUUCUUGGCUAUCUUAGAAAAUUGGUGUAGUUGCCUUGGAUUCACAAUAAAUGCCUAGAAGACAAAGUGAUUGUAUCUAGAAAAAGGGAAAACAUAUUAAGGGUUGAAAUGAAGCAGGGAUAAUCUUUUAAUACACAAUCUUGUUUAUACACCUAGGAACCUUGACCAGUGUUGAUGAGCUUACAAGAGUAGAUGCUUCAGCCACAGGAGUUGCAAAGUUUGAUAUAAUUCCACGUUUCAUAAAAAUAAGAUCUUUGGAGAGAAAUUUACCUGAAGUGAAAGUUUGAAUUUGGGAGACAAUGACUGUUUGUCAUCUUGCAAACUAGGCAUGUGGCUGCUGAUCAGGAAGACUCUUUCUCUUGGGUCCACCAAAUAGCUGUUCUUUUAUAUUAAGUCUGCUCAAUUCCAUGCCCCAUUACAGGAUCCUCUGCAUGGUUUUUCUAAUGUCCAAGGUGCUAGUGCCAGCACUGUGUAGUCAGAACCUCUGAAGAAAUACUAUGUACCCACUUCAGCAAGCAAGAGAACAAUACUGAGAAAUACUGGAGACAUCAAAUCCCUGAGACCUUACUAAAAUUUAAACAGCAUUUACUGAAUCUGUGCUUUUUCCGGGUAGUGGCAAUAAAUUUUGUCUGUAGAAUUGUUUGGAUUGGAGACACAUUCUUUCCUCAUGAAUAUUUUUAAACAGGACACAUUCCAGAUGCUUGCUCACUGUGUCCCAG
This is a long non-coding RNA of Gallus gallus (chicken), 1599 nucleotides long. The record is from Ensembl. NCBI's taxonomy places the organism in Eukaryota, Metazoa, Chordata, Aves, Galliformes, Phasianidae.